RNAcentral lists this microRNA precursor (52 nucleotides) under Canis lupus familiaris (dog). RNAcentral describes it as "miRNA (ENSCAFG00000054743.1)". The record is from RNAcentral. Lineage: Eukaryota; Metazoa; Chordata; Mammalia; Carnivora; Canidae.
CACCUUGAUUUUGGACUUCUAGCCUCCAGAACAAUGAGACAAGCAAUUUCUG